Molecule: long non-coding RNA, 5305 nt
Filed under: Ananas comosus (pineapple)
Lineage: Eukaryota; Viridiplantae; Streptophyta; Magnoliopsida; Poales; Bromeliaceae
Description: long non-coding RNA (ACOM_LNC015531)
Source: RNAcentral
AAGGGUGUGUUUGGUUCCACAUAAAACUGUGGAAAAAAAAUUUUCGGUGGAAAAAAAAUUUUCGAUGGGAAAAAAGUUUUACGUUGUUUGUGUUUGGUUUGUAGGAAAAGAAAAAUAGUUUUCCGUAACGGUUGUUUGGUUGAAAGGAAAAGAAAAAAAAUAUUUAAUAUAUUUUUUUUAUAUAUAUUAUAUAUUAUUAAUAUAUAAUAAUUAUCAUAAUAUAUUUAAUUAUUAUAAUUUAUAUUUAUAAACAAGAUAUAUUUAAAAUAUAUUAUAUAAUAAAUAUAUAAUAUAAUAUAUAAUAAUAAUAAUAUAUAUUUAAUAUUAUAAAAUACAUUAUUAUAUAUUUAUAAAUAAAAUAAAAUUAUAUAUAUAUAAGUGAUCCAGUGUGGACCACUCACUUCUGUCCACGAGCUCUUACAUGAGCUCGUGGACCCCGAUGCAAGGAAGCCCCAUGAGCCGCAAUAGUUUUCGUUUUCCGCCGAGAUUCGGCGGAAAAAGAAAAGCUGGCUUUUACAUGAAAUCUGUAAAAUAAUUUUUCCUGUAAAAUUUUUUUACGUCGAACCAAACGCUAGAAAAAUGAUUUUCCACUGAAAAAAAAAUUUUCUGACCAUUUUUACGGGGAACCAAACGCCCCCUAAGCUUCUCUUGAUAAUUAAAGCAUCACAUAACCUCUUUGGAAUCAACUGACUGUCAAAUACCUCAAUAUCUAUGUCUAUUUCUACAUCUCAUUUUCCAUAAAUAUACUAUAUUCUAUGAUAGAGGCAAGCAAUUUAAUCUAAAAGCGACUCGACCCAAGCACGAGUAAAUGUCAAAGAAGGAAUUACGUAAUGCCAAAAUUCACAGGCCCUUCCUUAUUGACCUGUAAAAGUUAGAGUUAGAGAUAUUGAUGACUAUACUAGACUGCCAAUUGAGACUUGGGUUUUGCUUAAGUUAACCUGAUUACAACCUUUAUGUAUCAAUCAUCUAUAGGAAGAUUGUAAAUUAGAAAGUGAAAAACAAUGUUCAAGAAGAAAACUAAUCUUCAGAUAUAAAAGAAAAAAUGUGGUCAAGUUAAGCUCAGCCAUUAAUGCCCUAAGUGCUUCUAUUCUGAAUCAGAAGAUACUGAUGACUAUCAUCUAUGCAACUACAAGGAUACUCAUAUAGUCUAGAAGUUCUAUCCAUCCCUUCCUUGACCACUGCAGACCUAAAGCCACAUAAUAGGUUUUAUCAACCCCGUAUUUAGCCGUAAAAGAUCCUGAUUGCUCAACUACUUCAUGCCAAUAGAAUAAAUUUGAUAUAUAAAGUGUGAAAUAUUAGAUAUACUUUCUUGAUUCCUAUGGUAUGUUAACUAGCUUAGCAUGUGGUUCACAACUUGCAAGAGGUCUACCUGGAUAGACAUUCAAAAUAAAACAUGAUUCAACUUGUGAAGAUAUAGAAAGGAGUCACAUGAACUAUAAUUCCAUAAGCUCAAAUGCUUGGAUAAAAACCUUCAACUUUAAUUUGGAAACAAGCAGACUCAUGGAUGCCAAUGCAACAGUAUACCUGUAUACUUUUUUCCAAGAGUAAAGCAACUCAAAAGCUAUUUCAUAGAAAAAUGCAUAUAUUUAAAGUAAUGGCAACAAUCUAAAAGAAAAUGCUGUUCCAAACCUUCCGAACAUGAAGCAAUAAUCGUGCUCCCAUCACCACUACCAUAUGUUGCACAAGCUGCAGUUAAGUUCAACACCGACUUCUCUGCAUGGAUCUUAUGAUGCUCCCACUUAACGUCAGGGGGAAGAAUCUUGAUCUCUUGCCCUGCUGGCUUGUUACUCACAUCUGCAUACAUAUACAAUGAGGAUCCUGAUAAAGUCUGAGCAGCCACCACCACAGACGUCGCUCCUUCCGAGAAGGCAAUGGCUGUUGGAUGAGCCCCAGCAGGCAAGUUUAGCCUCAGCAUCCUGCACAAAUCUCACCACAUUCAAAUCUUCAACUCAAGAUAUAAUCAUCAUCAUCAUCAAAUGGGAAGACACCAUCGCUAGAUUAGUCACAGUUUUCUAGUAUGGCAGUUUUUCUUUUGACACAGUUAGGGCCUUUAGCACCACUGUAGAUUGAAGUGUUUUUUUUGAUAAUUUACUAUCUGAGAAGUACCUGUAAGAGAAAUAUAAUAGUAAAAUUUCUCUAACAAAUUCUCUCCACAUAAGUAGAAGCACAAAAUUAGAGCUUAUGCCUUGAGACCUCAGAAUCUAAUUUCUGAUUCCCACUACAGCAGAUGCAGAAGUGAGGCAAACCAGGCCUUAGCAGUCUAAUAUGAAAUGUGGAUCGAAAGUACUAAUAGUGUAAAUUAAACAUUAUAAUCAUCACAGAUAUCAAAUAAAAAAAAGGAUAAUUAUCACACAAGAACAAAGAAAGAGAGAAUCCCUACUUGAAGCUUUUACUUGAGGCAUCAUCUAUCCGGAAAACCCUCACCACUCCAUCCGCGCAAGCUACAAAACAAAAAUUCUCACACCAAUACAUAAUCAUCCCCUAAAAGAUCAUAUACAGCAAAAUUGCAAGUAAAUCAGAUCGUUCGAGUUCGAGAGCUCACCAGUGGUCAGGUUCCGGCCAUCGGAGGAGAAGGCGAGGGCGGUCACCGAAUCACUGUGGCCCUUCAAGGUGUUAACAUCGAGAGGAUGGUGCUUCUUGUUAACAUCCUGCGAUUCCCGAUCGAAUCAUGAGAAGAAAAUAGAGAGAGAGAGAGAGAGAGAGAGAGAGAGAGUAGGGCUCGAAGGAACCUUAUCGGCGGGGUGGUGGUGGUGGUGGUGAUGGGGGCGGUGAGGGGGCUUCUUCGCGGCGGCGGUGGAGGGAGGAGGAGGGUUUCGGGCGGCGGCGGCCGCGGCGGUGGCGGUGGUGGGUUGGGCGAUGGUGCCGAUCUCGGCGCGUUUGCGGCGGAAGUAGUCGGCGAGGAAGAGGAGGGCGAGGACGGCGCCGACGACGGCGGAGAGGAGGGGCAGGGAGAGGGAGGAGAGGAUCGAUGGGAGGGUCGAGGAGGAGGAGGAGGAGGAGGGGGUCGUCGCCAUUGUCGCGUGCUCGGCUAGAAGAAGAUGACGAAGAUGAUGAUGCUGAUAAUGAAAUUGAGAAAGGGGUUUCGCUUCUGCGUCGCGUCGAGCUCACACGACGAAGAAGGUGAAAAGGGUACAAUGCUCCAUCAGCCCCUAAACUUUAUCAAAAAAUCAUUUUAGUUCUCGGACUUUUAAAAUUUUGACAUUUAAUGAAAAAUUUUAGUUGCACGUUCCAAAAGUAGUGUAAAUCCUACGUAUUCAUUCUAAAGUUCACAAAGAUUUAAAUAAUAUUUAUUAAAAAUAAAAAAUUAAUGUCACAAGUAGAGAAUUAAUAGUUUUAAAUUUAUUUAUAGUCCCUAAAUUUUUAAGAAUAGUUCAUUUUGGCUCUUUUUCAGAAUAUAAAAUUUAUAUUUAAUUUAAUCUGUAUGUAUGUACAUCAUAAGUUAUUGUUAUAUUUUAUCUAUCUUAUAUUUUUUAUUUAAUUUUAUGUAAAAUAAAAAUCUAUAAAAUAAAACUAUAUGAAAGCUCAAUAACAUGAGCUAACAUGGCAUACCCUCCUUAUUUUGGGAGAAUAGGUUAAUGUUAAUGACUAAUGCUAAUAAAAAAUUAAGAAAAGGUAUGAAACUGAUGAAUCUUAGAUUUUAUUAAAUAACUUAAUUAAUACUAUUAAGAAACAUAUUAAUUGUGCAUUAAGUACAGGAUAACUGAAAAUUGCAAAAGGCAUUUUUGGUUUUUUUUAAAAAGUUUUAAAAAAUCUAAUUAAAAUCCACAACCCUAUAUGAACAAUAUAAUUUUAUUUUUAACACAUCAAGAGUGAAUUGUGAAUAUAAAAUUCAUACUAUGAAAAAGAGAAAUUCUUAAGGGGCAAUACUUAAUAAGACUGAAAUAAAGAUAAAGAAUUGAGUCAAUAAAUACAUGAUAAAUAAGUAUAGAAAUAUACUAUAUGUAUGUAAUAAAUCAUUUUUGAAUAAUAAAUAUGUUGUCGAAGAUCACUAAUAUAGCAAUUGAAAGUAUGAGGAUCAAAAUAAGCUUGAUAAAAAGGUUUGGGACUACUGGCGGAAGUCAUACGGAAUGUGUCUGGUUUCACAUAAAAUUGUGAAAGAAAUUCGAUGGAAAAAAAAAUUCGGAAAAAAAUAAGUUUUACCCUCUUUAGAGUUUGAUCUGUAAGAAAAAAAAUUAGUUUUUCAUUAUAAUUGUUUGGUUGAAAGAAAAAAUAAAUAAAUUUAAAAACUAUUAUAUGUAUUUUUUAUUUUAUAUAUUGUAUAUUAUUGAUAUAUAAUAAUUAUUUGUUAUACAAUAAGUAUAUAAUAAUAUAAAUAUAAUAUAUAACAAGAAUUGAGCUAGAAUACUUGUAGAAGUAUCACCCACUGGUACUUCUAGGUUUUUAGCCUUUGGAUCUACUCCUUGAUUACUAAUAAUCUUUAGAUCAAACACUAUUCCACCUACCACCACCUAUCAUCAUCAUUUCAACCUUAUAUUUUUCCAUCAAAGAGUUAAAAACUCAAAAACACCAAUCGCUCGGUGCUUUGGAGAGUAUUAUAGCUCAACUCUAUAUAACAAUAUCUAUAUGUAACACUAUAAAAAAAAUAAUAUUUAUAAAUAAAAUUAUAUAUAUAUAGUCCGGCUGCUAUGUUAUCGAUAACACCAAGCACUUGGUGCUAUCAAGUUUUCUGUCGUUAGAUUAACCCUUUUAAUUAUUUUUACCUGUUAGAUUAUACUAUUCAACUAACCACCCACUCAACCCUAAAGGAUCCACAUUAUCUUAACCGCACAUUUCUCAAUCCAAGGGUCGAAAACUUAAUAGCACCAACUGUUUGGUGCUAUUGAUAGUAUUCCAGCCUAGUUCUAUAUAUAUAUAUAUAUAUAUAGAGAGAGAGAGAGAGAGUACGUCUCCCGUGCUUUCGAAAGUACGGAGGCCUCCUUGCUUGUAAGUUGUUUUCGAUUAUAGGACAUCUGAUUCGACGAUCGGCUCCGUUAGGCAUAAUCUACGUUAUUGGAACUGUUUAGAAACCAAAUUUUAUAUUUUUUCGACAUCAUUUACCAAGCGAUUACAGGAUCUCAAAAUUGACUAUUUUAACGGCCGAUGUGGCACGUUUUUAAAUUCAACGGUGUAGAAGUUUCCAAAUUAUAUAAAAUUUUUAUAAAAAAUUCUAUUUAACAUUAAGAGUAAGAACAAUACUUCCGAUUUAAAAUUUGAGUCUUUUAUCACUGUUUUUUAUGAUAUUUUUAUUUUCAGCCGUUCAUUUUGAGGCUACUCGUUUACUAGGCAAAUAAAGUCAAAAAAUUAUGAAAUUUGGUUUCUAAAUAGU